AAAUUGAAGAGUUUGAUCAUGGCUCAGAUUGAACGCUGGCGGCAGGCCUAACACAUGCAAGUCGAACGGUAACAGGAAACAGCUUGCUGUUUCGCUGACGAGUGGCGGACGGGUGAGUAAUGUCUGGGAAACUGCCUGAUGGAGGGGGAUAACUACUGGAAACGGUAGCUAAUACCGCAUAACGUCGCAAGACCAAAGAGGGGGACCUUCGGGCCUCUUGCCAUCGGAUGUGCCCAGAUGGG
Molecule: ribosomal RNA, 242 nt
Filed under: Escherichia coli
Lineage: Bacteria; Pseudomonadati; Pseudomonadota; Gammaproteobacteria; Enterobacterales; Enterobacteriaceae
Also listed under: 1 other name
Description: partial 16S ribosomal RNA
Rfam family: Bacterial small subunit ribosomal RNA
Source: RNAcentral